ACUGAUCAUAUCAAUUCCUGCAAGCCUUUGAGUCGCAGCGAUCCUUCUUAUAAAGAGACACUAGAGUUCUUGCACAAAUUGAAAGCUCUUAGUAAACGAUGAUAACUGUACAUAAUCCACAACCAAGGAUAACGGAGUUUUGACAUUCCUUUUUCCUCCGUGAUUCACAUGCAAAUAGUGUAAGUAGUUGAUAUACUCUAGUAGGGACUGGAAGCUCCUUGUGGCCUAGAUUUAUUAAACAAG
This 243-nucleotide unclassified non-coding RNA is filed under the name Hevea brasiliensis (rubber tree). The record is from RNAcentral. Lineage: Eukaryota; Viridiplantae; Streptophyta; Magnoliopsida; Malpighiales; Euphorbiaceae.